CAUGUAUCACGUUUUCCUCUUUGGUCAUAAAGAGCAACUUUCUUAGGAAGUUGCUAAUUGGCAACUGAAGACCUUCACUUCCAUUUCCUCUCCAUACGUGACCUGGACUCAACCUCUGCACUCCUCAGCUCUGAUUGAUACACAGAAAACUGAACCCAGAUGAAGGGAACUGAACAAGAAUGCAUAAAAUGCACAUAGGCACACACCUCAAAUAUCUACCAGUUGCUUCAGUUCAACA
This is a long non-coding RNA of Phascolarctos cinereus (koala), 238 nucleotides long. RefSeq lists it as uncharacterized. Lineage: Eukaryota; Metazoa; Chordata; Mammalia; Diprotodontia; Phascolarctidae. The record is from RefSeq and is a predicted model, not a curated record.